RNAcentral lists this ribosomal RNA (253 nucleotides) under uncultured bacterium. RNAcentral describes it as "partial 16S ribosomal RNA". It matches the Rfam family "Bacterial small subunit ribosomal RNA", at positions 524 to 776 of the family's 1533-position model. The record is from RNAcentral.
UACGUAGGUGGCAAGCGUUGUCCGGAUUUACUGGGCGUAAAGGGCGCGCAGGCGGCUCAUCAAGUCUGGGGUGAAAUCUCCCGGCUCAACCUGGAGGGGUCUCUGGUUACUGAUGGGCUUGAGGAAAGCAGAGGAAAGCGGAAUUCCAGGUGUAGCGGUGAAAUGCGUAGAGAUCUGGAGGAACACCAGUGGCGAAGGCGGCUUUCUGGGCCUGUACUGACGCUGAUGCCCGAAAGCGUGGGGAGCAAACAGG